GGGCAUGUAGCUCAGAGGUAGAGCGCUUGCCUCAUAUGCAAGAGGCCCUAGGUUCAAUUCCUAGCAACACACA
This is a non-coding RNA of Sciurus carolinensis (gray squirrel), 73 nucleotides long. The record is from the annotation of a RefSeq genome assembly. NCBI's taxonomy places the organism in Eukaryota, Metazoa, Chordata, Mammalia, Rodentia, Sciuridae.